ACGUGGGGACGACCUCACAUACUCACUUAGACCAUGGGACGACCCAG
RNAcentral lists this non-coding RNA (47 nucleotides) under Thiobacillus sp. Its description in RNAcentral is "Guanidine-II sequence". It matches the Rfam family "Guanidine-II riboswitch aptamer (mini-ykkC)". Rfam says of the family: Simpler in structure and has fewer highly conserved nucleotide positions than the ykkC-yxkD leader. Despite this each of its two stem-loop structures directly bind free guanidine. The record is from RNAcentral. Lineage: Bacteria; Pseudomonadati; Pseudomonadota; Betaproteobacteria; Nitrosomonadales; Thiobacillaceae.